GGAAGGAUGGCGGAGCGGUCGAUCGCGGCGGUCUUGAAAACCGUUGAGCCGCAAGGCUCCGGGGGUUCGAAUCCCUCUCCUUCCG
This 85-nucleotide transfer RNA is filed under the name Alistipes sp. RNAcentral describes it as "tRNA-Ser". It matches the Rfam family "tRNA". Rfam says of the family: Transfer RNA (tRNA) molecules are approximately 80 nucleotides in length. The record is from RNAcentral. RNAcentral also lists the same sequence under 4 other names. Lineage: Bacteria; Pseudomonadati; Bacteroidota; Bacteroidia; Bacteroidales; Rikenellaceae.